UUCAUUUUCGAAAAUAAUUUCUAUCUACGAAAGGAUAGUUUCGAAAAGUAAAAAAAUGAUGAUAAGUAUAAAUGAGGAGUUUUUCCAACAACCACUCCCUCAAACAUCCCCUUCUCUCUUAAUCAUUCUUUAUCCUCUUUAAUAAUAAAAACCGUGUUGAGAUUCCUAGAAAUUAUCGCCAACAGGCGCAAUCUAUUGAUGCCAAAAUGUUUCUGUUUGCAACCCUGUUUUGUGCUUAGGAAGUAGCCGACUCAACACGUGAGACGUUUUCGUGUACAACGGAGGUAAAAAAAAAUCGCUUGGCUGCAGACGAUUACAAACGUCGAGAGAACGGAGCGCCGUGUAGUGCAGUGUAUAUUCCUUGAAUGUUCCUACGCAGAAUGAAAAGAGGUGUCCGCCGCUGCGGCACUCAUGUUUACUACCCAGGAUAACAAAGAUUUGUGAAAACGUAUUUUUUUCUUGACAUUCUUACAUUCCUAAAAGUGCUUUAGAUGUAGAACUUAUUAAUUUAGAACGCAAAAUGUCUGCCUUUAAGAUGGGACCCGAAUGGCGAGAGCCUAUUGAUUCACUAUGUUUCUACUGCGUUUUUUACGUGACUUGAUUUGUUGCCACCAGGAACUAAAUUUAUCUAAAAGGUAAAAUGCGACGACAACAAGGCAUUUGAAAAUUUAUGGUGAUAUUAUUAGAGAAUGAAUUGUCAUACAAUAUUUUAGAACUGUAAAGCUGAUUAGAUUAGGCAUAUCAUUUUGUUAUCACUUGCUUUAUUUUUAAAAUGGAGAAUGCAGCACCAGGCUGUUUCUCACGGAUCUGUUUUGUAACAAUCUUUCUAAAUCUGUACACCAAGUUUUAAAAAGUUAUUAAAAAACCUUACAUAAUAAA
Molecule: non-coding RNA, 879 nt
Organism: Parasteatoda tepidariorum (common house spider)
Lineage: Eukaryota; Metazoa; Arthropoda; Arachnida; Araneae; Theridiidae
Source: RefSeq, a predicted model, not a curated record